UACAGAGGGGGCAAGCGUUAUUCGGAAUUAUUGGGCGUAAAGGGCGCGUAGGCGGCCUGACAAGUGGAAGGUGAAAUCCCUCGGCUUAACCGAGGAACUGCCCUCCAAACUGUCUGGCUUGAGACCGGGAGAGGUGAGUGGAAUUCCCAGUGUAGCGGUGAAAUGCGUAGAUAUUGGGAGGAACACCAGUGGCGAAGGCGGCUCACUGGACCGGUACUGACGCUGAGGCGCGGAAAAGCGUGGGGAGCAAACGGG
RNAcentral lists this ribosomal RNA (255 nucleotides) under uncultured bacterium. RNAcentral's name for it is "partial 16S ribosomal RNA". It matches the Rfam family "Bacterial small subunit ribosomal RNA", at positions 524 to 776 of the family's 1533-position model. The record is from RNAcentral.